Molecule: ribosomal RNA, 253 nt
Filed under: uncultured bacterium
Lineage: Bacteria
Description: partial 16S ribosomal RNA
Rfam family: Bacterial small subunit ribosomal RNA
Source: RNAcentral
UACGUAGGGUGCAAGCGUUGUCCGGAAUUAUUGGGCGUAAAGAGCUCGUAGGCGGUUUGUCACGUCUGCUGUGAAAACUCGGGGCUUAACUCCGGGCCUGCAGUGGGUACGGGCAGACUAGAGUGCGGUAGGGGAGACUGGAAUUCCCGGUGUAGCGGUGAAAUGCGCAGAUAUCAGGAGGAACACCGGUGGCGAAGGCGGGUCUCUGGGCCGUAACUGACGCUGAGGAGCGAAAGCGUGGGGAGCGAACAGG